GUGAACGCUGGCGGUAGGCCUAACACAUGCAAGUCGAACGGCAGCACAGUAAGAGCUUGCUCUUACGGGUGGCGAGUGGCGGACGGGUGAGGAAUACAUCGGAAUCUACUUUUUCGUGGGGGAUAACGUAGGGAAACUUACGCUAAUACCGCAUACGACCUACGGGUGAAAGCAGGGGAUCUUCGGACCUUGCGCGAUUGAAUGAGCCGAUGUCGGAUUAGCUAGUUGGCGGGGUAAAGGCCCACCAAGGCGACGAUCCGUAGCUGGUCUGAGGAUGAUCAGCCACACUGGAACUGAGACACGGUCCAGACUCCUACGGGAGGCAGCAGUGGGGAAUAUUGGACAAUGGGCGCAAGCCUGAUCCAGCCAUACCGCGUGGGUGAAGAAGGCCUUCGGGUUGUAAAGCCCUUUUGUUGGGAAAGAAAAGCAGCAGGUUAAUACCCCGCUGUUCUGACGGUACCCAAAGAAUAAGCACCGGCUAACUUCGUG
This 489-nucleotide ribosomal RNA is filed under the name uncultured bacterium. RNAcentral describes it as "partial 16S ribosomal RNA". It matches the Rfam family "Bacterial small subunit ribosomal RNA", at positions 29 to 507 of the family's 1533-position model. The record is from RNAcentral.